UGGGGAAUAUUGCGCAAUGGGGGAAACCCUGACGCAGCGACGCCGUGUGAGGGAAGAAGGCCUUCGGGUCGUAAACCUCUGUCAGAAGGGAAGAACCGUUUCAGGGUUAACAGCCCUGGAGCCUGACGGUACCUUCAGAGGAAGCGCCGGCUAACUCCGUGCCAGCAGCCGCGGUAAUACGGAGGGCGCGAGCGUUAAUCGGAAUCACUGGGCGUAAAGCGCGCGUAGGCGGUUUGGUAAGUCAAAUGUGAAAUCCCUCGGCUCAACCGGGGAACUGCAUUCGAUACUGCCUGACUGGAGUGCGGGAGAGGGUGGUAGAAUUCCCGGUGUAGGGGUGAAAUCCGUAGAGAUCGGGAGGAAUACCGGUGGCGAAGGCGACCACCUGGACCGCAACUGACGC
RNAcentral lists this ribosomal RNA (400 nucleotides) under uncultured bacterium. RNAcentral describes it as "bacterial SSU rRNA". It matches the Rfam family "Bacterial small subunit ribosomal RNA", at positions 355 to 746 of the family's 1533-position model. The record is from RNAcentral.